AGAUUGAACGCUGGCGGCAUGCCUAACACAUGCAAGUCGAACGGGAGUAGCAAUACUCUAGUGGCGGACGGGUGAGGAAUACGUAGGAAUUUGCCCUUAAGUGGGGGAUAACCCGGGGAAACCCGGAUUAAUACCGCAUGACCUCGAAAGAGCAAAGUGGGGGAUCGCAAGACCUCACGCUUUUGGAGAAGCCUACGUCGGAUUAGCUAGUUGGUGAGGUAAUGGCUCACCAAGGCGACGAUCCGUAACUGGUCUGAGAGGAUGAUCAGUCACACCGGAACUGAGACACGGUCCGACUCCUACGGGAGGCAGCAGUGGGGAAUA
RNAcentral lists this ribosomal RNA (324 nucleotides) under uncultured soil bacterium. Its description in RNAcentral is "bacterial SSU rRNA". It matches the Rfam family "Bacterial small subunit ribosomal RNA", at positions 26 to 363 of the family's 1533-position model. The record is from RNAcentral.